RNAcentral lists this ribosomal RNA (472 nucleotides) under uncultured bacterium. RNAcentral's name for it is "bacterial SSU rRNA". It matches the Rfam family "Bacterial small subunit ribosomal RNA", at positions 8 to 475 of the family's 1533-position model. The record is from RNAcentral.
AGGGUUUGAUCCUGGCUCAGAUUGAACGCUGGCGGAAUGCUUUACACAUGCAAGUCGAACGAUGAAGCCUAGCUUGCUAGGUGAAUUAGUGGCGGACGGGUGAGUAAUAUAUCGGAACGUGUCCAUUAAUGGGGGAUAACUAAUCGAAAGGUUAGCUAAUACCGCAUACGCCCUGAGGGGGAAAGCUGGGGAUCUUCGGACCUAGCGUUAAUGGAGCGGCCGAUACCUGAUUAGCUAGUUGGUGGGGUAAAAGCCUACCAAGGCAACGAUCAGUAGCUGGUCUGAGAGGACGACCAGCCACACUGGGACUGAGACACGGCCCAGACUCCUACGGGAGGCAGCAGUGGGGAAUUUUGGACAAUGGGGGCAACCCUGAUCCAGCCAUUCCGCGUGAGUGAAGAAGGCCUUCGGGUUGUAAAGCUCUUUCGCAAGGGAAGAAACGAUAUAGGUUAAUAGCUUAUGUUAAUGACGG